This 663-nucleotide long non-coding RNA is filed under the name Rattus norvegicus (Norway rat). RNAcentral's name for it is "long non-coding RNA NONRATT009492". The stretch from base 575 to 637 matches the Rfam family "tRNA". Lineage: Eukaryota; Metazoa; Chordata; Mammalia; Rodentia; Muridae. The record is from RNAcentral.
UUUUUUUGUUUUUUUUUUUUUCCUUUUCUUUUUUUUUUUUCGGAGCUGGGGACCGAACCCAGGGCCUUGCGCUUGCUAGGCAAGCGCUCUACCACUGAGCUAAAUCCCCAACCCUUACUAUUGUUUUUUGCAGAAUGGAGCCUGCUCAAACAGUACCUACAGAUCAUUUUGAUGUUCAAGUUGUUCCCUGUUGGCUCAACAGGGCCCUAAAACUGUUUUUUUUUUGUUCUUGAAACAUGCCCUAUCAUUGGGUACUUGCUUACGUUCUUGGACAGUGCCCCAGCUCUGAGAUGGGCUAUGUUGGAUCUGCCUCCUCAGAGGAAGCAAAAUUGAGAUACCAAGAUAUAGCCCAAAGAACUGUCUCAAGUAGGCCAGUGGUCAGUUUAUGCAAAGUCAUCAUUUCCUUUUAUUUUUCUAGGACUUUUUUUUGUUUGUUUGGCGUGUGUGUAUGUGUGUGUGUGUGUGUGUGUGUGUGUGUAGCCAUGGCUGUCCCAGAAUUAGCUCAGUAGAUGAGGCUGGCCUUGGAUCCAUCUGCCUCCGAGUGCUGGUAUUAAAAGUUUGAGUCACCGGGGUUGGGGAUUUAGCUCAGUGGUAGAGCGCUUGCCUAGCAACCGCAAGGCCCUGGGUUCAGUCCCCAGCUCCGAAAAAAAGAAAAAAAAAAGU